UCUCCGUAGGUGAACCUGCGGAGGGAUCAUUACUGAGUGAGGGCCUCCGGUCCGACCUCCAACCCUUUGUGAACCAACACUGUUGCUUCGGGGGCGACCCGGCGCUUCGGCGCCAGGGGGUCCCCGCUGGUCCACACAACUCUGCAUCUUUGCGUCUGAGUAAUCAUUAAAUGAAACAAAACUUUCAACAACGGAUCUCUUGGUUCUGGCAUCGAUGAAGAACGCAGC
This 228-nucleotide unclassified non-coding RNA is filed under the name uncultured fungus. RNAcentral describes it as "sequence contains ITS1, 5.8S rRNA gene". The stretch from base 180 to 228 matches the Rfam family "5.8S ribosomal RNA", at positions 1 to 49 of the family's 154-position model. The record is from RNAcentral. Lineage: Eukaryota; Fungi.